RNAcentral lists this ribosomal RNA (253 nucleotides) under uncultured bacterium. RNAcentral's name for it is "partial 16S ribosomal RNA". It matches the Rfam family "Bacterial small subunit ribosomal RNA", at positions 524 to 776 of the family's 1533-position model. The record is from RNAcentral.
GACGAACCACACAAACGUUAUUCGGAAUCACUGGGCUUAAAGGGUGCGUAGGCGGCGCGGAAAGUAGGGUGUGAAAUCCCUCGGCUCAACCGAGGAAUAGCGCCCUAAACUACCGUGCUCGAGGGAGAUAGAGGUGAGCGGAACUUAGGGUGGAGCGGUGAAAUGCGUUGAUAUCCUAAGGAACACCGGUGGCGAAAGCGGCUCACUGGAUCUCUUCUGACGCUGAGGCACGAAAGCUAGGGUAGCGAACGGG